AAGCAGGUUCCAGGCUCCGAGCUGCCAGCACAGAGCCCAACACGGGGUUUGAACCCACCAACUGCGAGAUCGUGACCUGAGUGGAAGUCGGAUGCUUAACCGACUGAGCCACUCAGGCGCCCCCAGGCACGUAGCUUCUUACGGAUGAGCAUGGAACGUGGUUUCUUGAGCUGGAAUCCAGUCCCAGUGAGGUUGCCUUGAGGACCGUUGUUGAAAUGACAGUGAAGAAAGGAGAAUAUCACAGGAACAGAGUUGAGAAAGCGGCCUCAGAGGACUAACUCGUUUCCAAAGAAGUUUGGGGGGUAAAAUUCUGUCAGCAUCUCCUGCUACAGAGAAACGGUUCACGCAGCAAACCUCAGUGGUGAUACUUUAAGCCAACAGGCUCCAGGCUCCGAGCCGUCAGCACAGAGCCCGACGCAGGGCUCGAACUCACAAACCAUGAGAUCAUGACCUGAGCCGAAGUCGGACCCUCAACUGACUGAGCCACCUGGGCGCCCCUGACUAGCAUUUCUCUUAGCAACAAAAGUGUUUUUAGAUGAAGGAAUGCCAGAUUAUAAGAUGUGUCUUGAGCCACUGCAGCUCUUAGCUUUAAUCUGGAGGCACUCUGCUCUUGUGAGGCAACAGCCAAGUUCUCGAAGCAGUGCUAAGAUUCAGAAAUGAAUCAUGAAUUUUAUGCAGCAUGCUCAAACAUUGUAAUGGGGUCACAUAAGGUAAAUACGAGUUACUGUAGAAAUAUUACAAAGAUUUAAAUCUCCUGUAAGUACUAUCAGUUUUUUUAAACAGCUUUAUUGAUAUAUCAUUGACAUACGGCGCAGUGCCCAUGUUUAAAGCGUGUCUUUUGGGGGCACCAGGGGGGCUCAGUAGGUUAAGCGUCUGACUUCAGCUCAGGUCAUAAUCUCGCAGUCCGUGAGUUUGAGCCCCACGCCGGGCUCCGUGCUGACAGCUCAGAGUCUGGAGCCUGCUUCGGAUUCUGUGUCUCCCUGUCUCUCUCUCUCAAAAACAAAUAAACAUUAAAAACUCAAAAUAAAUAAAUAGACAUUAAAAAAAUGGAAGUGUGCCAUUUGGUAAGACU
Felis catus (domestic cat) is the source of this 1072-nucleotide long non-coding RNA. RefSeq lists it as uncharacterized. Lineage: Eukaryota; Metazoa; Chordata; Mammalia; Carnivora; Felidae. The record is from RefSeq and is a predicted model, not a curated record. The transcript is spliced from 2 exons.